Molecule: non-coding RNA, 104 nt
Filed under: Gemmatimonadota bacterium
Lineage: Bacteria; Pseudomonadati; Gemmatimonadota
Description: Gemmatimonadetes bacterium TPP sequence
Rfam family: TPP riboswitch aptamer (THI element)
About the family: Vitamin B(1) in its active form thiamin pyrophosphate (TPP) is an essential coenzyme that is synthesised by coupling of pyrimidine and thiazole moieties in bacteria. The previously detected thiamin-regulatory element, thi box was extended, resulting in a new, highly conserved RNA secondary structure, the THI element, which is widely distributed in eubacteria and also occurs in some archaea. Analysis of operon structures identified a large number of new candidate thiamin-regulated genes, mostly transporters, in various prokaryotic organisms.
Source: RNAcentral
GUCCAACGACAGGGGUGCCCGCCAGAGGCCGUCGCGGGCUGAGAUCACACCCUUUGAACCUGCUCCGGGUAAUUCCGGCGAAGGGAGUUUGUAUGAACGUCGUC